AACGCGAAGAACCUUACCAGCCCUUGACAUCCCGGUCGCGGGAACGAGAGAUCGAUCCCUUCAGUUCGGCUGGACCGGAGACAGGUGCUGCAUGGCUGUCGUCAGCUCGUGUCGUGAGAUGUUGGGUUAAGUCCCGCAACGAGCGCAACCCUCGCCCUUAGUUGCCAUCAUUCAGUUGGGCCCUCUAAGGGGACUGCCGGGGUCAACUCGGAGGAAGGUGGGGAUGACGUCAAGUCCUCAUGCCCCUUAUGUCUUGGGCUGCAAACAUGCUACAAUGGCCGGUACAAAGGGUUGCGAGACCGCAAGGUGGAGCGAAUCCCAAAAAGCCGGUCUCAGUUCGGAUUGGGGUCUGCAACUCGACCCCAUGAAGUCGGAGUCGCUAGUAAUCGCAGAUCAGCAACGCUGCGGUGAAUACGUUCCCGGGCCUUGUACACACCGACUGUAC
This 445-nucleotide ribosomal RNA is filed under the name uncultured bacterium. RNAcentral describes it as "bacterial SSU rRNA". It matches the Rfam family "Bacterial small subunit ribosomal RNA", at positions 958 to 1399 of the family's 1533-position model. The record is from RNAcentral.